This 479-nucleotide ribosomal RNA is filed under the name uncultured bacterium. RNAcentral's name for it is "bacterial SSU rRNA". It matches the Rfam family "Bacterial small subunit ribosomal RNA", at positions 28 to 506 of the family's 1533-position model. The record is from RNAcentral.
GACGAACGCUGGCGGCGUGCUUAAUACAUGCAAGUCAACUUGACUUUAGAUAGCAAUAUCGAAAGUAGGGUGGCGCACGGGUGCGUAACGCGUAGGUAAUCUGCCCUGAGGUCUGACAUAACCCGUCGAAAGGCGGGCUAACAUCAGAUGAUAUAUAAUCACGACAUCGUGGAAAUAUCAAAUCUUCGGAGCCUUGGGAUGAGCCCUGCGUCUGAUUUAGGUAGUUGGCGGAGUAAUAGCCCACCAAGCCUACGAUCAGUAGCUGGUCUGAGAGGAUGAUCAGCCACACUGGAACUGAGACACGGUCCAGACUCCUACGGGAGCAGCAGUAAGGAAUAUUGCUCAAUGGGGGAAACCCUGAAGCAGCAACGCCGCGUGAAGGAUGAAAUACUUUUGUAUGUAAACUUCUGUAAGAUGGGAAAAAUAUUCUCCUCGGGAGAAUUGAUUGUACCAUCAGAGUAAGCCCCGGCUAACUACGU